AUCUUAGUUCAUUGCAUGUGGCCAGCACAACCUCAUUUGAUCUUGGAAGCUAAGCAGGGUCUGGCCUGGUUAGUACUUGGAUGGGAGGAUGGGAGAAUUUGGGACCUUUGGUG
This 113-nucleotide ribosomal RNA is filed under the name Erinaceus europaeus (western European hedgehog). Lineage: Eukaryota; Metazoa; Chordata; Mammalia; Eulipotyphla; Erinaceidae. The record is from RNAcentral.